GAAGGGACUGUAGGCAGGCAGACCAGCAGAGAGUCUCCGACCGCUCUGGAGCAGAAGUCCGUGAGACACAAACUCUGGAUUCACAACAAGAGAAGCUUUUCCAAUCUACCGUAGUUAUAGCAACCAGUCUCAAUAACGGGAUUAUAACGGCCGCGUGGCACAUUAGUAGAGGAAGAGUCGUUACUCUGUGGAAUCAAAGAAUUUUCCAGUUGAUUUUAAAAGUGGAUUUGUACGUGGCCAACUGAACCGGGUGAAACGAGCGGUUGCCUUGCACGGAAAGAAAUGCAAACCGCGGCGGAACGGAGAGACGGUCCUUCCACACAGCAAUUCUUUCCGCCAGGAGUUAUUUUAAGAAGGGAGCCUAUAAUAUACAUGACCAUACGUGAACACUGCGGGCAAGGGUUUCAACCGUCCAGAGUUUUUAUUGAUUAAAAACAAACAAACAAGCAUAUGUGAGGAACUUCAGAGUGCUCAUGAGGCAUGUCAGCAAUAUCAAAUGAUCUGGAAAAGCUCAAGAGCAACUUUCGUGCAAUUGCAUCAUAAUUCUGGAAUAAUUUGGCCAAAGACAACAUUGUUUUCUUGAUCCUGUGCAGUCUUCUGGUACUAAUGUUCAUUUGGUCUGUGUAAUUAGUUUAAUAUCCUGUCAGUUCUGGAUUUGAUCAUAAAGACAGGACGGCUCCUGAGGCUAAAAGAUGGCUGGAGAAAAUUUAUGGUCUAUAUUUUGACUGGCGUUAAGAUGAACUGACCAUAUCGCCCCCAGUAGCACACGUGUGAUUGGAUCACUGUCACAUUUAUGUCAUUGUAUUUGUUGCUUUGGUAAAUGACUUAACAAAACAGUCAAUCAUUGUGACCUGCUGAAAUAAAAUGUAAUAAUAAUAAUAAAAUAAAAAAAAAUAAAAAAAAAAGAUGUGCAUGAAAAUAAUUUUGUGUAUACAUUAACUGUAGGUCAGCAUUUUUUACAUUAAUAACAUAAGUGUCAUAGCAGCUGUCAGUAAAGAGCUUGAAACCAUAGCAAAUGCCCUUUAAGUAAGAUAUACAGUUGUUGUAAUGGAUCUUUGAGUAUUUUUAGCAGAUUUGUUUGUGUCAAUAUACUUUAGUAUCUUCCACCCUCUUACCUAUUUUAUUCAGGCAGAGGGAACUAAUUGGCACAUUCAGAAUGCUCGGCCCUCUGUUGCCACAUGCUAAAAAGCCACUUGGUGCAAACAUCCCCCUUGCUGACGCUGUCUUAUGGUUUCCAUAUGCUCUGAUUUUGGGUAAUUUCAGGGCCUGGGCUCUAAUGAGAGAUUUUAUUUCUGUAAUGCAUCGGUUGUGGUGUCGGGGAUCAACAUUUAUAGGACUCAUAUCUGGGAACUCCGAGACUUCUCAGUGGCACAUUGGGCUCUGGCAUGGGAAUACACAGUUUUUAUUUUAACAAUUCAGCCUAGUCGACACUUUUUUAGGAGUCAUGUGGCACAGUCAGUGUGGUCGAAAUAGCUUCAGUGUGGUAAAAGUUUACGUUUUUUAAGUUUCAGAUCUGUUGAUUGCUAUAGUUCUGUUCACUCCAAGAAGGUCUUGAGCACCUGAAUAAAAGACAACGCUUUGUAAGAGAACAUUUAAUUGCUUUGCACUUGAACACAGGGGUUUCUUUCUUGUUUUACUUGCAAGACCACCUAGUAUAUAAAAACUGCUUAUUUAGAAAUCUUUUUAUACCGUCCAAAAUAGAAAUGUUUAAAAUGUAUUUAAUACAGGGCCUGAAUUUGUUUUGUUUUUUUAAACUGGGGUGGGGUAGGGGGGAUUCCCCCUUACAUGGGUCACAUGGGGG
Long non-coding RNA from Cyprinus carpio carpio, 1801 nucleotides. The record is from Ensembl. NCBI's taxonomy places the organism in Eukaryota, Metazoa, Chordata, Actinopteri, Cypriniformes, Cyprinidae.